RNAcentral lists this ribosomal RNA (429 nucleotides) under Gemmatimonadota bacterium. RNAcentral describes it as "Gemmatimonadetes bacterium partial 16S ribosomal RNA". It matches the Rfam family "Bacterial small subunit ribosomal RNA", at positions 355 to 776 of the family's 1533-position model. Lineage: Bacteria; Pseudomonadati; Gemmatimonadota. The record is from RNAcentral.
UAGGGAAUCUUCGGCAAUGGACGAAAGUCUGACCGAGCAACGCCGCGUGAGUGAAGAAGGUUUUCGGAUCGUAAAACUCUGUUGUUAGAGAAGAACAAGGACGUUAGUAACUGAACGUCCCCUGACGGUAUCUAACCAGAAAGCCACGGCUAACUACGUGGCAGCAGCCGCGGUAAUACGUAGGUGGCAAGCGUUGUCCGGAAUUAUUGGGCGUAAAGCGAGCGCAGGCGGUUUCUUAAGUCUGAUGUGAAAGCCCCCGGCUCAACCGGGGAGGGUCAUUGGAAACUGGGAGACUUGAGUGCAGAAGAGGGGAGUGGAAUUCCAUGUGUAGCGGUGAAAUGCGUAGAUAUAUGGAGGAACACCAGUGGCGAAGGCGGCUCUCUGGUCUGUAACUGACGCUGAGGCUCGAAAGCGUGGGUAGCAAACAGG